UACGUAGGGUGCGAGCGUUGUCCGGAAUUACUGGGCGUAAAGAGCUCGUAGGUGGUUUGUCGCGUUGUCCGUGAAAACUCACAACUCAAUUGUGGGCGUGCGGGCGAUACGGGCAGACUGGAGUACUGCAGGGGAGACUGGAAUUCCUGGUGUAGCGGUGGAAUGCGCAGAUAUCAGGAGGAACACCGGUGGCGAAGGCGGUGGUCUGGGCCGGCACUGACGCUGAGGAGCGAAAGCGUGGGGAGCGAACAGG
Molecule: ribosomal RNA, 253 nt
Filed under: uncultured bacterium
Lineage: Bacteria
Description: partial 16S ribosomal RNA
Rfam family: Bacterial small subunit ribosomal RNA
Source: RNAcentral